UACGGGGGGGGCAAGCGUUGUUCGGAAUUACUGGGCGUAAAGGGCUCGUAGGCGGCCAACUAAGUCGGAUGUGAAAUCCCCAGGCUCAACCUGGGAACUGCAUCCGAUACUGGAUGGCUUGAAUUCGGGAGAGGGAUGCAGAAUUCCAGGUGUAGCGGUGAAAUGCGUAGAUAUUGGGAGGAACACCAGUGGCGAAGGCGGCUCACUGGACCGGUACUGACGCUGAUGCGCGAAAGCGUGGGGAGCAAACGGG
RNAcentral lists this ribosomal RNA (253 nucleotides) under uncultured bacterium. RNAcentral's name for it is "partial 16S ribosomal RNA". It matches the Rfam family "Bacterial small subunit ribosomal RNA", at positions 524 to 776 of the family's 1533-position model. The record is from RNAcentral.